This 386-nucleotide long non-coding RNA is filed under the name Setaria viridis. Its description in RNAcentral is "long non-coding RNA (SVIR_LNC010412)". The record is from RNAcentral. Lineage: Eukaryota; Viridiplantae; Streptophyta; Magnoliopsida; Poales; Poaceae.
AUGUGGAGAGGCGACGGAAAAGCCGGAAGGCAUCAGGCCUUGCAGCCGGGGAUCCGGCGAGAUGAUGGGCGCGAGCCGCGAGGUAGUUUGACGUAGCAGGCAGCAAAGCUCUGCCACAGCGGCGACGGAGCACCAAGGCACGGCCAGCGAGGGCGCGAGCGAGACAAGGCGCUGCAGAAAGGGUUGCAGAGGGGCUUCCGUUGCGAUUGGGGAGGAGGGUACAGGAAUCCAUCCUGUCGCGGCCGGCGACUGGGUGAAGCGGCGGGCGUCAGAGAGCUCAAGCCACGCGGCGGAGAAGCUUAGAAGCGGCGCAUGCUGCUCGAGUGCGUCUGCCUCGGUAGAUCCGGGGAAAAGAUUUGUGGGUCCACCGGUCAAUCUCAGUUGUC